RNAcentral lists this ribosomal RNA (465 nucleotides) under Vreelandella stevensii. Its description in RNAcentral is "partial 16S ribosomal RNA". It matches the Rfam family "Bacterial small subunit ribosomal RNA", at positions 338 to 795 of the family's 1533-position model. The record is from RNAcentral. Lineage: Bacteria; Pseudomonadati; Pseudomonadota; Gammaproteobacteria; Oceanospirillales; Halomonadaceae.
CCUACGGGAGGCAGCAGUGGGGAAUAUUGGACAAUGGGGGGAACCCUGAUCCAGCCAUGCCGCGUGUGUGAAGAAGGCCCUCGGGUUGUAAAGCACUUUCAGUGAGGAAGAACGCCUGGUGGUUAAUACCCAUCAGGAAAGACAUCACUCACAGAAGAAGCACCGGCUAACUCCGUGCCAGCAGCCGCGGUAAUACGGAGGGUGCGAGCGUUAAUCGGAAUUACUGGGCGUAAAGCGCGCGUAGGUGGCUUGAUAAGCCGGUUGUGAAAGCCCCGGGCUCAACCUGGGAACGGCAUCCGGAACUGGCAAGCUAGAGUGCAGGAGAGGAAGGGAACAUUCGCGGUGGAGCGGUGCACUGCGGCGAGAUCGGGCGGAACACCAGUGGCGAAGGGGUCCUUAUGGACUGCAACUGACACUGAGGUGCGAAAGCGUGGGUAGCCAACAGGAUUAGAUAGACUGGGAGUA